GGCCUAAUGGUCUAGUAGCAUGAUUCUUCCUUUGGGUUGUUAAACUUUGGAAGAGGUCCUGGGUUCAAUUCCCAGUUGGGCUC
Non-coding RNA from Sphaerobolus stellatus SS14, 83 nucleotides. The record is from the annotation of a GenBank genome assembly. NCBI's taxonomy places the organism in Eukaryota, Fungi, Basidiomycota, Agaricomycetes, Geastrales, Sphaerobolaceae.